GAAAUAUCUCCAGCCGUUUGGAAGUGAUGCAGUAAAAUAUAUUUCCCAUAGACUUGUAUGGGACUUAAAACAAAAACCCCGACCCUGGCAAAUGUGGAAGUGCCUAGCUCAUCCAGGGAAAGCUGAGUAUGAUAGGGGAAUUCCAGGAAAGUGUGAAAUCCUUAGCAGACCAUAGAUGCCUUGGAACCUCUGAUAAAGUCAUGGACUCCAUCAAAUUAAAAGAAUGGUUAAAAACAGUAACAGGAAAUAAGGUUACAGCAUCCGCGUAGGUGUCUAUUCCUACCGAGAAAAACAAUCAAUACUUCAACAGUUUAGACAUAAAGUUUAUUUUGGAACUUCCCGAAGGCAAGAGGAUCAGCGUUGUCAAGGGGAUCAGCGGAGGAACACAGUCACACCACACCGAAAAUAAACC
This is a long non-coding RNA of Hyla sarda, 412 nucleotides long. RefSeq lists it as uncharacterized. The record is from RefSeq and is a predicted model, not a curated record. The transcript has 3 exons. NCBI's taxonomy places the organism in Eukaryota, Metazoa, Chordata, Amphibia, Anura, Hylidae.